AACCCGCUACGCGACCCCUGGGGAUGGCUGCCAUGUGCGCCCAGAGUCCUUCUAAAAUUCUACCUUCGACCUCUCCCAGCAAACCGGAGCUCCCCCAGCUGUCAACACUGUGGCAAUCUCCAGUAAAAACCUUAGUCUUCCCUGAUUAUCUGUCAAACCCGCAUCUGAGUGAAGCCUCACUGCGCACUCCUCUGGUCUCUCGGAUGCCCACCGGGUGCAGGGCACGGUCCCCACGCCAGCCGGUACCUACUCGCAGACCCAAAAGGGAAGACACAUCCUCCAGGGCCACCCAGGUACCGGACAGCGCAGGCCCGACGGCUGUCCGU
RNAcentral lists this long non-coding RNA (326 nucleotides) under Rattus norvegicus (Norway rat). Its description in RNAcentral is "long non-coding RNA NONRATT003066". The record is from RNAcentral. Lineage: Eukaryota; Metazoa; Chordata; Mammalia; Rodentia; Muridae.